This 393-nucleotide ribosomal RNA is filed under the name uncultured bacterium. RNAcentral's name for it is "partial 16S ribosomal RNA". It matches the Rfam family "Bacterial small subunit ribosomal RNA", at positions 523 to 918 of the family's 1533-position model. The record is from RNAcentral.
AUACGGAGGAUGCAAGCGUUAUCCGGAUUUAUUGGGUUUAAAGGGUGCGUAGGCGGUUUGCUAAGCGGGAGGUGAAAUGCCGGCGCUCAACGUCGGAAGUGCCUCCCGAACUGGUGGACUUGAAUGACUCUGCCGUGGGAGGAAUGGGUAGUGUAGCGGUGAAAUGCUUAGAGAUUACACAGAACACCGAUUGCGAAGGCAUCUCACGAAGGGUUGAUUGACGCUGAGGCACGAAAGCGUGGGGAUCAAACAGGAUUAGAUACCCUGGUAGUCCACGCAGUAAACGAUGAUGGCUAACCGCUGGGCUUAUCAGUUCAGUGGCCAAGCGAAAGCGAUAAGCCAUCCACCUGGGGAGUACGACCGCAAGGUUGAAACUCAAAGGAAUUGACGGGG